UUCCUACGGGACGCAGCAGUGAGGAAUAUUGGUCAAUGGGCGAGAGCCUGAACCAGCCAAGUCGCGUGAGGGAGUACUGCCCUAUGGGUUGUAAACCUCUUUUGUCGGGGAGCAAAAGCCGGACGUGUCCGGCUGUGAGAGUACCCGAAGAAAAAGCAUCGGCUAACUCCGUGCCAGCAGCCGCGGUAAUACGGAGGAUGCGAGCGUUAUCCGGAUUUAUUGGGUUUAAAGGGUGCGUAGGCGGAAGGUUAAGUCAGCGGUCAAAUGUCGGUGCUCAACACCGGCCUGCCGUUGAAACUGGUCUU
This 305-nucleotide ribosomal RNA is filed under the name uncultured bacterium. Its description in RNAcentral is "bacterial SSU rRNA". It matches the Rfam family "Bacterial small subunit ribosomal RNA", at positions 336 to 640 of the family's 1533-position model. The record is from RNAcentral.